CAUUCUCUUUAUUGCAUCACGAGGUCUGUGGGGUUUCAUUUUUACCAUGUGGAGUGGAUUAUCCCACUGCAAAUCUCCCUUGAGUUCUUGGAAAAAUAUGUGAGAUUGAUAAGCAGCAGGACAUUUUAAAGGAAAUACCCAACUAAGAAAUGUUCAGCAUUUGACAUCGUUUGCAGAGGCACUGGCGACAUCCUAAAAGACUUGGCAGUGUAAGUUCAAGCUCUCAUGAUUUUAAGUCAGCUUCUCAUUAAAGGUCAGCAUGCUUAGCAUGUACCUGGGUCUCAUCACCAGCACCUCCCAAAGUAGAGCUCCGUCAGCAAGAGUGUCCAGAGGAGCGAAGGAAACACAGGAAGAGACAAUGAGGCAGCCUCUCCGGGGAUGGCUUUCAUCAUGGAACAGACCUCUUCGCUGGCCCUUGGAGGAACAGUUGUCACCAUCUGAAAAUUCUUCUAAACCUCCAUUCAACAGUUCUGUACUUUAGACAAGUUAUUUGAUCUUCACGUGCUUCAAUAUUCUCAUUGAGAGAAUAAAUGGUCCACUUGAAGACCACAAGAGGGCACCAGGACCCCAACAGCUGAGCUUUUGCAUGGUUGUAAGCACCUUUUCUGGGUACUUGGAACCAAGUGCCAAUCUUCUGCAAGAGCAUCAGGAUUUCUUUACUGCUGAGCCACCUGAAUUACACCCCACCAAUAAUUUUCUAAACCCUAGUGAUGUUAACACACUUGAUAGAUGAAAUGUGAUACAGUUUGGGGGCCUGUUAACUGAAUGGCAAAAAAAAAA
Molecule: long non-coding RNA, 780 nt
Organism: Mastomys coucha (southern multimammate mouse)
Lineage: Eukaryota; Metazoa; Chordata; Mammalia; Rodentia; Muridae
Exons: 3
Source: RefSeq, a predicted model, not a curated record